AUUUCAGUAUAAGUAUGUCUCAUGAAAUAUUUGGGACAUAACUUAUUCUAAAA
This 53-nucleotide microRNA precursor is filed under the name Equus asinus (donkey). Its description in RNAcentral is "mir-1302 microRNA precursor family". It matches the Rfam family "mir-1302 microRNA precursor family". The record is from Rfam by way of RNAcentral. Lineage: Eukaryota; Metazoa; Chordata; Mammalia; Perissodactyla; Equidae. RNAcentral also lists the same sequence under 1 other name.